UCUCUCUCUCUUCUCUUUUUCUC
This 23-nucleotide small RNA is filed under the name Arabidopsis thaliana (thale cress). RNAcentral's name for it is "ATSL073110". The record is from RNAcentral. Lineage: Eukaryota; Viridiplantae; Streptophyta; Magnoliopsida; Brassicales; Brassicaceae.